UACGGAGGGUGCAAGCUUUAUCCGGAUUCACUGGGUUUAAAGGGUGCGUAGGCGGGCAGGUAAGUCCGUGGUGAAAUCUCUGAGCUUAACUCAGAAACUGCCAUGGAUUCUAUUUGUCUUGAAUAUUGUGGAGGUAAGCGGAAUAUGUCAUGUAGCGGUGAAAUGCUUAGAUAUGACAUAGAACACCAAUUGCGAAGGCAGCUUACUACACAGUUAUUGACGCUGAGGCACGAAAGCGUGGGGAUCAAACAGG
RNAcentral lists this ribosomal RNA (253 nucleotides) under uncultured bacterium. RNAcentral's name for it is "partial 16S ribosomal RNA". It matches the Rfam family "Bacterial small subunit ribosomal RNA", at positions 524 to 776 of the family's 1533-position model. The record is from RNAcentral.